AAAGAGACGGGUUCUAGACCCCACACACGCCACUCGGUAGAGACUUGGGCCCAUAGCUCAGCUGGCUAGAGCACACGACUGAUAAUCGUGAGGUCAGUGGUUCGAGUCCACUUGGGCCCACCACAUGGGGCUGUAGCUCAGUUGGGAGAGCACCUGCUUUGCAAGCAGGGGGUCACCGGUUCGAGACCGGUCAGCUCCACCAGACGGUGGGGUGGGGAGGGGCAUCGGGGGAUGCUCUGGGGGUAGCAGUGGGCAGUGCAGAGCCGUGGGCUGUGCACUGUACAUUGGAAGAUGUGCGGUAUGUUCUUUGACAAGUGAGGAAGGGAAGGCCAGGCGACCGGUGACGGGUUGUCUCCCCCGAGGGUAUUGGGGGAUAU
Molecule: transfer RNA, 377 nt
Filed under: Acidithiobacillus caldus
Lineage: Bacteria; Pseudomonadati; Pseudomonadota; Acidithiobacillia; Acidithiobacillales; Acidithiobacillaceae
Rfam family: tRNA (bases 47-120)
Source: RNAcentral